GGGUGUAGCCUGGCUCCACCUCUCCUAGACCCAUUUAAGAGCUGACUACCACUGAGGAAGGAUCUCUUCUGGAGGUCCCUUCUUUGGAGUUUUGCAGGGAGUCUAGGAUGUAGCGCCUUGACUGCCAGAGCCUUCUGAUGGAAAGAGCAGCAUUUGAAUUCCCUUCCUGUCUGUGGUGAAAGCUGUGAUGAAGGGGGAUGGAUCCUCCUCCACUGAAGAAAUGUCGCCUGCAGGAGAGCAGCAGCAAGCCAGAGCCCACAGAGAUUGAUUCUAGGGAGAGCAACGGCAACGUGGAGCUGAUGGAGGUGGAUCCAUCUCCAUCACAGCUGGGUGUCCACUAUAAGAUCAUGCUUGCCCAUUGACGUUGCCACAUCUGCGAAUGGUGCUCCAGGGGCUCUUGCUUUUCAUCUGGGUGUUGAGGAGUCACCAUCUACCCAAGAGCCCCCGCUGCUGCUCCCUGCCCCUCUUCCUACCCUUCCACCUCUUCUUCCCCAAGCUCUGAGGAAAAGGGAAGGACUGGUACCAGCACCGCAUCCCGAGCUGCUGCACCAGGACAACAGGAACGACCUCCCUGUGGCCUCAGAGCGAGCCCUGAGGAAGAGGGCCAGGCCAGGACUGCCAGCAGCUGGAGGAUGGCGAAGGGCCCUAUGUUCCCUGCAAGGCAAUAGUCGCAAAGGAAGGUUUGGCAGGCUCUGCUUGGAUAUUAGGAAAAGCGUUUUACUGGGAAUUUGACAUGGCGUAGUAAUCUGUUACUUGGAUGUAGUGAAAUCUCUAUCUUUGGUGGAUUUCAUGACAUGAUCAGGAAAAAGCCACUGCUGUCCUGAUUGAUUGUUGGCAGUGGGUCCAUGUAAAGCAGGAGGCUGGGCUAGAUGAUGUACAGAGAUCCCUUCCAAUCAUCUUAACCACUGUUCUAUGUCUGUCAUUCAUGUUUCUGGUCAAAUUCAAGGCAAAGAACUCUUCAGUGCUAUAAAUGUAAAGCUUUGCAAAGCCAAUUAAGUUUGGUUGAAGUGUUUACAGCAGGUGUAUCAUAGCAGUACUUUAAGGACCUUCCUUGAUACUGUUUUUAAGAUAAUUAUACACAAAACACAUUAGACUCUUGGGCUAUUUGAAAAACAUGCAUUUGUUAAGUGAUGAAAACAAACAAA
Molecule: non-coding RNA, 1145 nt
Organism: Phasianus colchicus (ring-necked pheasant)
Lineage: Eukaryota; Metazoa; Chordata; Aves; Galliformes; Phasianidae
Source: RefSeq, a predicted model, not a curated record